Molecule: ribosomal RNA, 331 nt
Filed under: uncultured Anaerolineaceae bacterium
Lineage: Bacteria; Bacillati; Chloroflexota; Anaerolineae; Anaerolineales; Anaerolineaceae
Description: bacterial SSU rRNA
Rfam family: Bacterial small subunit ribosomal RNA
Source: RNAcentral
UGCUGCAUGGCUGUCGUCAGCUCGUGCCGUGAGGUGUUACGGUUAAGUCCUGUAACGAGCGCAACCCUGCCGUUAGUUACAUGUGUCUAACGGGACUGCCCGGCUCAACGUGGGAGGAAGUGGGGACGACGUCAAGUCAGCAUGGCCUUUAUAUCCUGGGCUACACACACGCUACAAUGGUCGGUACAAUGGGUCGCCAAGCCGCGAGGCGGAGCCAAUCCUCCAAAACCGGCCUCAGUUCAGAUUGUAGGCUGCAACUCGCCUGCAUGAAGUUGGAGUUGCUAGUAACCGCGCGUCAGCUAUAGUGCGGUGAACUACGUUCCCGGGGCUU